RNAcentral lists this transfer RNA (74 nucleotides) under Methanobacteriota archaeon. RNAcentral's name for it is "Euryarchaeota archaeon tRNA-Met". It matches the Rfam family "tRNA". Rfam says of the family: Transfer RNA (tRNA) molecules are approximately 80 nucleotides in length. The record is from RNAcentral. Lineage: Archaea; Methanobacteriati; Methanobacteriota.
GUCGGGGUGGCUCAGCCUGGUGGAGCGUCGGACUCAUAAUCCGGAGGCCCGGGGUUCAAAUCCCCGCCCCGACA